GAUGGAAGAAAAAGAGGCCUCAAGAUGCUCGUUCUAUGCAAAAGAGACAAAAGGGCAAAUAUUCCCCCUCCCUACAAGUAAAUCCAUGUAUCACCUGAGGGUCUGGUGAGUGGGCACCGCAGGUGUGACAACUGGAGGCCUCGGGGUCUCCCUUCUGUGUGUUUUAGCUCGGAGUCUGGGGUCUGGAAACUGCUCCUUACGACAGUGUGCUUGUCCACAGGAGGCUCCUGAAGAAAUAGCUGGAGGAGGCAAAUGUUAAUCACUGAGAGUAGCCGCCAGGACGACGGAGUCACUCUAUCCUGUGCCCCACUGCCUGUGUCUGGACACACCAACUACCUCAGUGGCUAGCCAGGGCACCAACCUCUGUGUAGUCCUGGAGGAUAGGGGAACAGGAUUAUACACAGCAGCGAUCAAAACUGGUUUAAGAGCCUGCAAGAUGGCUCAGCAGAUAGAGGGAUUGCUGCCAAUGCCUAGUCACUUGUAUUUGAUACCCAGGAUCUUACCUGGUAGGAGAGAACACACUCCAGGAAGCUGUCCUCUGACCAUGUCCACCCAUGCUUCUCUCCUUCCAAACAAUAAACAUAAUGAAGAAUUGUAA
This is a long non-coding RNA of Mastomys coucha (southern multimammate mouse), 598 nucleotides long. RefSeq lists it as uncharacterized. The record is from RefSeq and is a predicted model, not a curated record. The transcript has 3 exons. Lineage: Eukaryota; Metazoa; Chordata; Mammalia; Rodentia; Muridae.